Microcebus murinus (gray mouse lemur) is the source of this 2599-nucleotide non-coding RNA. Lineage: Eukaryota; Metazoa; Chordata; Mammalia; Primates; Cheirogaleidae. The record is from RefSeq and is a predicted model, not a curated record.
GCCGUGUGGGGCCGGUGCUCCCGGGACUCCCAGCACAUCGCGCACAGCAGCCUCCUAUCUUACUACCAAUAGGAGUGCAGCUUCUCCCCGGUGCCUCGCACACAGCUUCUUCCCGCCCUGCUGUUCCUGGGCUGCGCUCCAAGCCACCCGCCCUCCUGCACCUUCAGCUGCUUGCUAGAUGUUCUCCACCAGGCUGACCAGCCGACGCCCUCCUUCUUGAACGGCUUCUUGCAGAGCAGACACGAGGGGCGCCACCCCCACCCCCCAGGCGGGGCGGACAUCGCUGGCGCAGCUGUGGCAGAAGACGUGGCCAUAGUCAAUGGUCACGGGGUCCCGCAGAUGACCAAGGCAGAUGGAUCAGGUCACCUCUUCCUCCAGGCUCCCCUCCGGGCUGGCCUGGCCAUGGUACCCGUAGCUCAGAGCGUUCUCAGCUCACCAGUGGGGCUUCUCCUUGGGGACCAGACACAGAGUCAAGAGCAGGCGCAGCAGCAGGGCAGAGGCGCGGUAGCCAGUGUAGGGCGCCGGCCCCAGACACCACCAGCUCCCAGGAGGCUCUCACGACCUCAGAGUGACAGGGACCUUGCCUAUCUCUAAUAGCUAGUUUUCAGGAAACCUAGUGCCUAGACUGGAGUUAACCAUUUCUGCCUCCUGUAUCAAACCCAAACUGUCACCAUGUUAAAGCUAGGUGUGUGGACCCAGGUUUGAGACUGACAUUUCUCUAAGGGAAAGGGAAUUCAAUUAGGCAAAUAUUUGUGAAGAUGAUGUUUGAGUAAAUAAUCAACAUCUCAAGAAUUCUUAAGAAACUAAUUUUGAAAUUUUUAUUCCUUCCCUUCCUCCCUCCCUCUCUCUCUCUCUCCCAAUGUUUUUUCCUUUUCAUUUUAUACACAGGGACUCUCUGUGUUGCCCAGGCUGGAAUGAAACUUCAGGCCUCAGGUGAUACUCCAGCUACAGCCUCCUGAGUUACUGGAAUUGUGAUUUUGAGCCACUGUGCCCACAUCUGAAUCUUCUUUGGAAAAACACUAAGAUAGUGUUCAUUUAAAGGCAUUAAUGUUAUGGCACUGAAGUCUUGGAACUCUUGGAUCCAGCUACAAUAUGUUCUCAACUUUGUAUCAACUUAUUGAAGAGAACAUUAUUAUUAAUGGCAUUUACAUGAAAAUCUCAGAGAUAUUAAUGUAUAUCCCUCCUCUGUCCCAAACUUCUUAUGCAGCACCCAAUGUUCUGUGAUGUCUGAAAAUUUUAAUCACUACUUGGAAAAGAGAAGUUUAAAGUAUUAAAGUAAAAUAAUCAGAGGAAAGAAGCAUUUGAUUUACAAAAUCCUGAAACAAUCACUUUCAUUUUGCUUUUGGCAUGUAUGCAAAGUCACUGAUACUCCUCCUUUCUGGAGGUGCAGCUUAAUUCCCUCCCUGUGAGUGUGGCCUGGACUUAAUGGUUCACUUCUGACAGAGCAACGCUGAUGUAAGUUUGUGACUCUGGUGUAGGACAUAAAACUCACUGUGGAUUCCACCCUGCUUCUCCCUUUCUGGGAUGACGAGCUCUGGGGAAGCCAGUUGGUUUGUCAUAAGCAGCCCUGUGCAAAGCUCCACAUUCUAGAAACUGAGGGCUCCUGGGACCAGCCAACAAGCAGCUGAGGCCUCUUCCAGCAGUCACGAGAGUGAGCCACGUUUCAUGCAAUCCCCAGCCCCAGUCCAGCCCUCAGAUGACACUGCCUGGCUGACAACUGGACAGCUACCCUGUGAGAAGCCCUGAGCCAGGAGCACUUAGUGAAACCUCUCCUGGAUUCCUGACCACCAGAAACUGUGGGAAAUAAUAAAUAUUUGUUGUUUUGAGCUGCUAUGUUUUGGGUAAUUUCAUACACAGCAGUAGAUAAUAGAAUUUGCAAAGAAAGAAUGAAUUAUGGCACUUUAAUUUUCAUUUUCUCUACAUGAAUUAUAAGAUAUUAAACAUAUCAUUUGGCCUUAGGAUGUAAGAAGAACUUCCAUGGCCAAAUAGGGUGUAUUUUAUUACCACUCAUAACUAUCCAUUUACUUGACCUUCUAUUUCCAGCUGUGACCCAACUGAACAGAAAAGGAAGAUCCGGGCAUGCUAGGCUGAUUCUGUGAUGUCCCGCAAUAACCACCCCCUGCUUAUUCACCUUCCCCCGGUUACUCAAUCACCACUAAUGUAGGUGCUGCUGGGAAGGGACUUGCAGAUAUAACUAAGGUCCAAAAUCAGUUGACUUUAAGACAAGGGAUUAUCCUGGAUUGGACUGUCCUAAUCCAGGUGAGCCCUUAAAAGGACUGGGUUCUUCCUAAGCAUGAGAUAAACAGUGUGAGAGGGACUCAUUGAGAGAAAAUUCCUUCGCUGUGGGCUUUGAAAGUGGAGAGGCUGUGUGGCAGGGAGUGCUGGGGGCACCAGAAAGUGGGAGCAGCCCCCCUUUACAUGAUAGCCAGCAAUGAAACAAGGACCUCCGUCCUACAACUGUCAGAAAUGGAAUUCUGCCCACAGGCUCCAUAUAAGCUUGGGGGAGGACCCAACCUCAAGAUGAGAAUACAGCUUUGUGAAACCCAGAGAACACAUCCGCACCAUGCCUAAUAAACGAAUAUCAUUUUUUCCACUGGAA